Hibiscus syriacus is the source of this 138-nucleotide long non-coding RNA. RefSeq lists it as uncharacterized. The transcript has 3 exons. Lineage: Eukaryota; Viridiplantae; Streptophyta; Magnoliopsida; Malvales; Malvaceae. The record is from RefSeq and is a predicted model, not a curated record.
ACUAAAUGUAUUACUUUCUAAAGGAAAAAGCUUUAAACUAUGAAAAAGGAAAAUUGGGUAAACACCAUAUAGCAAGAGACAGACCUGCACAUGCCUACCUUCACUAACUUUAAACCGUCAAAAUCAGUUAAAGGUGAA